GUGGAUUAGAUACCCUGGUAGUCCACGCCGUAAACGAUGGAUACUAGCUGUUGGGCGCAAGUUCAGUGGCUAAGCGAAAGUGAUAAGUAUCCCACCUGGGGAGUACGUUCGCAAGAAUGAAACUCAAAGGAAUUGACGGGGGCCCGCACAAGCGGUGGAGCAUGUGGUUUAAUUCGAUGAUACGCGAGGAACCUUACCAAGGCUUAAAUGUAGUUUGACCGAUUUGGAAACAGAUCUUUCGCAAGACAAAUUACAAGGUGCUGCACGGUCGUCGCCAACU
This 280-nucleotide ribosomal RNA is filed under the name uncultured bacterium. RNAcentral's name for it is "partial 16S ribosomal RNA". It matches the Rfam family "Bacterial small subunit ribosomal RNA", at positions 773 to 1060 of the family's 1533-position model. The record is from RNAcentral.